This 360-nucleotide ribosomal RNA is filed under the name uncultured bacterium. RNAcentral's name for it is "bacterial SSU rRNA". It matches the Rfam family "Bacterial small subunit ribosomal RNA", at positions 1 to 353 of the family's 1533-position model. The record is from RNAcentral.
UAGAGUUUGAUCAUGGCUCAGGACGAACGCUGGCGGCGUGCCUAAUACAUGCAAGUCGAGCGAAUGAUGAGAGAAGCUUGCUUCUCUAUGAUUUAGCGGCGGACGGGUGAGUAACACGUGGGUAACCUACCCUAUAGACUGGGAUAACUUCGGGAAACCGGAGCUAAUACCGGAUAAUACUUUUGAACUCAUGUUCGAUUGUUGAAAGAUGGUUUCGGCUAUCACUAUAGGAUGGACCCGCGGCGCAUUAGCUAGUUGGUGAGGUAACGGCUCACCAAGGCAACGAUGCGUAGCCGACCUGAGAGGGUGAUCGGCCACACUGGGACUGAGACACGGCCCAGACUCCUACGGGACGCAGCA